This 26-nucleotide non-coding RNA is filed under the name Rattus norvegicus (Norway rat). Lineage: Eukaryota; Metazoa; Chordata; Mammalia; Rodentia; Muridae. The record is from RNAcentral.
UGACUCUGGUGUAGUCUCAUGUGACU